GACGAACGCUGGCGGCGUGCUUAACACAUGCAAGUCGAACGGUGAAGCGCCUUCCUUUUUGGUGGGUGUGGAUGAGUGGCGAACGGGUGAGUAACACGUGAGUAACCUGCCCCCUUCUUCUGGAUAACCGCAUGAAAGUGUGGCUAAUACGGGAUAUUCUGGGUCUGUCGCAUGAUGGGUCUGGGAAAGAUAUUGUUUCGGUGGGGGAUGGGCUCGCGGCCUAUCAGCUUGUUGGUGGGGUGAUGGCCUACCAAGGCGGUGACGGGUAGCCGGCCUGAGAGGGUGGACGGCCACACUGGGACUGAGACACGGCGCAGACUCCUACGGGAGGCAGCAGUGGGGAAUAUUGCACAAUGGGCGCAAGCCUGAUGCAGCGACGCCGCGUGAGGGAUGGAGGCCUUCGGGUUGUGAACCUCUUUCGCCAGUGAAGCAGGCCUGCCUCGUUUGUGGGUGGGUUGACGGUAGCUGGAUAAGAAGCGCCGGCUAACUACGUG
Molecule: ribosomal RNA, 494 nt
Filed under: uncultured bacterium
Lineage: Bacteria
Description: partial 16S ribosomal RNA
Rfam family: Bacterial small subunit ribosomal RNA
Source: RNAcentral